UACGAGAGGCCCAAACGUUAUUCGGAUUUACUGGGCUUAAAGAGUUCGUAGGCGGUUUGGUAAGUGGGGUGUGAAAUCCCUCGGCUCAACCGAGGAAUUGCGCUCCAAACUGCCAGGCUUGAGGGAGAUAGAGGUGAGCGGAACUGAUGGUGGAGCGGUGAAAUGCGUUGAUAUCAUCAGGAACACCAGAGGCGAAGGCGGCUCACUGGGUCUUUUCUGACGCUGAGGAACGAAAGCCAGGGUAGCGAACGGG
This 253-nucleotide ribosomal RNA is filed under the name uncultured bacterium. RNAcentral describes it as "partial 16S ribosomal RNA". It matches the Rfam family "Bacterial small subunit ribosomal RNA", at positions 524 to 776 of the family's 1533-position model. The record is from RNAcentral.